This is a long non-coding RNA of Pyrus x bretschneideri (Chinese white pear), 1810 nucleotides long. RefSeq lists it as uncharacterized. Lineage: Eukaryota; Viridiplantae; Streptophyta; Magnoliopsida; Rosales; Rosaceae. The transcript is spliced from 2 exons. The record is from RefSeq and is a predicted model, not a curated record.
CAAAACAACAGAAAAAGAACAAAAGAAUUGCAAUGGAUAAAUUUUUGUAUUUUACAAACUAUGUGCUUAGUUUUCAAAACGAAACCACAAGCCAAAAGAAAUCAAGAUCUCAAUAACCUACUUAAGAAAUUUAAAUUGCUGUUCUUAACUUUCGAACAAAGGGACAAACUUCAAAAGUCCGAAAACUACUUCUCGACUCUUUUUUGCAAGAACACAGAAUUAAAGAAUUUGGUUCAAGAACAAAAAUCUAUGAUUGACGAACUCAGUCAAUCUAAUUCUUCGACCAAAUGUCAUGGAUUUUUGUCAGUGUUAAGGAUAACAAAAAGUUUCAAUUCUUUGUAGGUGGCUGUUGACAAGUACCACAAAAUUGUUGUUAAAUGAAAGUACACACGUCGAAAAGAAGAACGGAAUGUCUUGGGUAUGGUAGAUUUAACUCUACACAAAUGCUAGACAAUUUUUUGCAAGACCCUGUUAAUCAGACACUGAAUGACAUGGAAAUAGGUUUUGGGUCAACACAUUAACCACUGUUCUAAAAAUCCCCGCGACACUAGGCGGUUGGCCACUGCCCGAUUAAUGCCUAGGAAUUUGAAAAUUAAGAAAGGGUGCCUAGACCUACUUAGGCACCUGUCUAGACCCGCUUACACAUAAAAUAUAUAACUUUCACUUUGCAUUUUAUUUUUCAAGAUAUUGUAAUAGACUUGUUGCAUACUUUCAUUUUUUUCAAUAAAUUGUUAUAGGCUUUACAGAAAAUAGAUAACUUUCAUUUUGCAUUUUAUUUUUUCAAUAUAUAUAUAUAUUGUAAUAGUGUGUCGCCCCGAUCCCGAGAUACGCCUGGAAUCGACAUGCGAUGAUAGAACAGUAGCGGUACAAUAUAAAAUACAUAGAGUCAUUGAGACUCAUUCAUAUAAUAUACAUUAGAGCUCAGCGGAAAUAGCUUACAACAAAGGGUGGCAAUCCUAUUCUCGAGUGCAAUGCCUACAUUGCUACAUAACCUGCAACCUUCUUCUCUAACCGCUACCCAUUACUCUGCAAAAUAACCCUACGUCGUGGGUAGACUUGGCAUUUCAAACCCGACCUGACCUGACCCGUUAAAAUAAGUAUUCGUGUGAAUGUUUAACUGGUUGGGUGGUUAAUGGGUCAACCCGUUAAGCACCCUGUUAAAUAACGGAUCAUUUUGAGUGAACCUGCGAAACCCAUUAACACCCGUUAUUUAGAGUUUUUGUGUAAUUUCAGCAGUCAAUAAUGAAACCCUCACUCUGUCUCGCAUUCCACUAUUGCAGUACAAGCACGCCAUCUCUAAGAAGUUCUCCCUCAUCUUCUUCCUCAUAAAUUACCACUCUCUCCAGCGUCUUCUUCCACUUCGGCGUGCCCUCAUCUUCUUCCUCCAAGUCCUCCGCGUGCCUUUAUCUUCUUCCACUCCGGCGUCUUCUUCAACUCGACGACGUGCACAAUACUGCAGUACUGCACUAUUGCAGUACGGGAUAACGAAAUUGCUUCUGGUUCUGGCUGCCGUUCUCUCCCUCAUCUUCUUCCUCAGAAAUUACCACUCUCUUCACCAAGACAAAAAACCUUUGCACAAAGAAUGUGAUGUACGUGGCAAUUUGUAAACCGUGGAACUGAAACCGCGUAUGAUGUAUUUUGCUCGCCGACACUAAUUACGAGGUGGGGUCCUAUCAAAGUUGCGCUAGAUUCGAAUUUGGAAUGAGGAGCAUCUUCUUUGAGAAUCUUACACGGAUUUUUUUUGUGAGACCUCUUUCGGAUUUUUUUUGUGUAGAUCUUGAGAAUUCUUAAAUCGUGUUUGUUCAUCUCA